RNAcentral lists this long non-coding RNA (648 nucleotides) under Chinchilla lanigera (long-tailed chinchilla). Its description in RNAcentral is "lncRNA (ENSCLAG00000024645.1)". The record is from RNAcentral. Lineage: Eukaryota; Metazoa; Chordata; Mammalia; Rodentia; Chinchillidae.
AUGUUAAUGGUCUUUUUCAGAAUAUUUUUACUUUGUUCUUGUCCCUGUGUACUCACAGCAAGAGAAAGUGACUGCCUGGCUUGGGUGAAGCAUUUCUGUGUACUCGUAUCCACUCUUCACGGGAGAAGAUGCGCCCACACCGAGACAGUCACUGAGACAUCAGAAAACAUCACUGAGAUCAUGAAAGAAAUUGUGCAAUAUUCUAUGGGGAAAUGAGCGCUGGACCAGGGAAGGCCAGAACUUCAUUUCUAGCUCUGGCGUUUACUCAGUGUUUACAAUUAGGUAAGUAAUUUAAGCUGUCUGAUUUUCAGUUUUCUCAUUUGGAAAAUGAAGGCACUGAAGCAGAAUACUUUUGUAUACUUGUCUAGUUUAAAACUAAGAUUAAUUUCUCUUCAGAUAUGAGAACGGCAUGGAUCUUGCAUAAAGAUCAUUGUUUUUUAACUUGACUGCUCUUUUCAUCACUGCAGACUCAGAUAUUCCCUGUCCCUGGGAGGCAGCCCAGAACAAGCAAAGAAAAGUUCCUAUGUGUAGAGCCCAGGCACUUGUAUGUCUUAAAAGUUCCCUGGUUAAUUUCAAUACACCAUCAGGUAGAAAGUUCCAACUUCAUGGCCUAUUUUAACUACUGCACUGGGCAGUGUGACAUAUAAG